GCACCAGCCACAUGAAUACAAGGCGCCAGCCAUGUAUUUAAGGGACACAAAUUUUGUGCUAGCCACAAGAUUUAAGGUGCCAGCCGUGGAAUUUAAGGCGCCAGUCACACAAUUCUGUUACACAAAAUAUGGCGCCAGCCUUGAAAAUUGUGGCGCCAGUCACCUAUUUUAAAGGAACAUGUGCAAAAUUUAAACAACACAUGGCGCCGGUCGUGAGCUAUUCUUCAGCAAAAAUAUCAGUCUCAUCUUAUCAAGUCAGUUGCGAAUCGUGGGGAGAAAUUAAAGUAACUGAAAGCAGAAAAGGCAGGACUCCUCAGCCUAUAUAUAGAUGCAUUCAGAAUGAAUUAAGAAGGAUCUUCCACUACGACAAGUUAGAGCUUAAGAGAAAAAACACUUACUUUAAAUUCUUAGAAUUAAGUUUACUGCUUUACGUGUUGAGAGCUACAGCUUGUCCUUUGUUUCCUGUUCAAUUCCAGUUUCGGUUUUGUAAGUUACAUUAAUCAAUAUAUUUAGUUUUAUUUUCCAAA
Trifolium pratense (red clover) is the source of this 527-nucleotide long non-coding RNA. RefSeq lists it as uncharacterized. The transcript has 2 exons. NCBI's taxonomy places the organism in Eukaryota, Viridiplantae, Streptophyta, Magnoliopsida, Fabales, Fabaceae. The record is from RefSeq and is a predicted model, not a curated record.